UAUAGCCACCAAUUUCUACUGAGUAUUUAUCUACUAUAUGGCAGGUCAAGUCUGCAUUCUGGGAUAAAGUGUUGACACAAUCUUGAAUCAGUGCCUAAGGAGUUCACAAGUCCAGAGAGGGGAUAGCGCAUAGAGAAGAUAAAGCAGAUGUCCAUCCAAAGACUUGUAUGUGAAUGUUCAUAGCAACUUUAUUUGUAAUAGCCAAAACCUGAAAGCAACCCAAAUGUAUGUUAAGAAGCGAAUGGAUACAUAAAUUGUGGCAUAUGCAUACAAUGGGAUACCCAGCAAUAAAAAGGAAUGAACUAUUCAAAGAUAAGAGAGCUGAAGAAGAGUGAAAAUAAAGAAACUUCUGCAAAGCCACACAUGUAAUUGACCCAUCAUUUGGAUGACCCGAAACCACAGAUGCAAUAGAAGAAUGGAACAAAUUUGUACAUUUUGUCAAUAAAAACUUUAUCUUCA
RNAcentral lists this long non-coding RNA (459 nucleotides) under Homo sapiens (human). RNAcentral describes it as "long intergenic non-protein coding RNA 1677". Lineage: Eukaryota; Metazoa; Chordata; Mammalia; Primates; Hominidae. The record is from RNAcentral.